GGGCGCACGGGCCCUCGGCGGGGCCGGCCUCGUGAUGACCGAGAUGGCGUGCGUCAGCGAGGAGGGCCGGAUCACCCCCGGCUGCGCCGGCC
Molecule: transfer RNA, 92 nt
Filed under: Streptomyces olivaceoviridis
Lineage: Bacteria; Bacillati; Actinomycetota; Actinomycetes; Kitasatosporales; Streptomycetaceae
Description: tRNA-His
Source: RNAcentral